GUCAGGAUGCCGAGUGGUCUAAAGGCGCCAGACUCAAGUUCUGGUCUCCCAAUGGAGGCGUGGGUUCAAAUCCCACUCCUGACA
This is a non-coding RNA of Morone saxatilis (striped sea-bass), 84 nucleotides long. The record is from the annotation of a RefSeq genome assembly. Lineage: Eukaryota; Metazoa; Chordata; Actinopteri; Moronidae.